RNAcentral lists this long non-coding RNA (2226 nucleotides) under Physcomitrium patens. Its description in RNAcentral is "long non-coding RNA (PPAT_LNC005081)". Lineage: Eukaryota; Viridiplantae; Streptophyta; Bryopsida; Funariales; Funariaceae. The record is from RNAcentral.
ACAGUAAUAGGUUCAAACUAAAUAAUCUUUAAAUAUAUUAGAAAUUAUCAAAGCAAUAAUAAUAAUAAUAAUAUGAUGAAUGCUUUUUUUUUCUUUGAUUUUCAAAUUAAUGCAGAACCAUAAUUUUAGUGGAUAACUAGCACAAAAUGUGUAUACUAAAUGAAAUCAACCUGUAUUAGUAAAAAUAGAAAUCGACCAUAUCUCAAGUUACAAUUAUAUUAAUGACAGAAUUGAAAUCUAUUCAUUUUUCAAUUGUAUGUGAAAAGAAAGGUUUCAACCAAGAAAGAAGUUGCAGACAAAGGACACAAAAAAGUCUUGCAGUUGGGCAAAGUUAUAUUUCAUUCUCUCAAUAGAACGUUAACUAAAACCCAUAAACAUCGUAAAAGAAAUACUCAUGAGAAACAUCUCUAGAGCCAGAAAUGGUUUUGAAAUUCCAAGUAAGGCGGUAGAGCUGGAGUUCAUGAGAAAUAUUUCUGUACUUAACCCCAGUCCUUACUAUCACACAUACAGUAAACUAUAUUUCCGAGAGUUUGUAUACCGACACAUCUCAUGGAUAGGUGCUGGAAACAGUCGAAAUUGGUGACUGUCGGUGAAGAGGCAUGCAGUUGUGCAGCACCUGUUGAGAAAUCCUACGCGGCACGACAAGUUCCAUGUGUAACAUCCAGCUCGACAUAGUGUACACACUUGAGCAUCCAGAUUACCUGAACGGACAAUGAUCACAAAACUCAACCGAACAAACAGAAUUUUGUUACAACUCACCGCUUAAACUUGUAUGCUGCCGAGACACCAAGUAUGUACUAUUUUGAUCCAUUACGCGUUAAUUGAAUAGUUUUCUUCUUUUGUAUUAAGAACUACCUUAUGAUUAAGAGUCAGAGCUUCAAGCUAUUUUUCUUCAUUUCCAUUAGGUUACAGGCCUACAUAUUUCACUGUCUCUCAGAAAAUGGAUUCGAGCUAGAAAAAUAGAUCUUUAGUUAUCUUCCAUUCUAUAUGUUCCUUGAUUUACGACCUACGCACACAAUUGCCCCUUGCGAGAGACAAACUUUUUCCUUCUACUUUUCUCUGUUUCACAUCUGUGAUUGCUGCAAUGGAAGAAGAACCUGUGCUCAUCCGUGAAGAGACCUUGGACGGAUUCAUCCGCAGUCAGCCCUCCGCUGGCCUGCCUUAUUUCAUUGCACAACCUCCCCUUAGACAAGAUUUCACUAAUAUCAGCAUCACAAAUAUAGACAAACUCACAGGAGACAAUUUUUCCGUUAAGAAAUUAUAGAUAAGCAUCCUAUUGCGUGCAAAGAAGCUACUAGGCAUUGUGAUGAAUUGUCACACAUCUAACCAAAUGUGGCGUCGUUUGCAUAUAGUUCUUGAAUAAUAUGCUACGGAAAAUGUGCAAUUGCUACAGCAACAGUUCUUUGACAUGAGAAUGAAACUAGAUGCUGAAGUAGUCGACCAUGUUGGCUGCAUAGAGCAACUCGCAAGUCAACCAAACAAUCUUGGUGAGCCAAUUUGGGACCAAGCAGUUAUUCGCACAUCUUGAGUACUUCACCCCACAAAUUUUGCCACCCACUUUUAGCCUGGGACAGCGUCCCAAGACACAAGCAGACCAUUGAAGCACUCACACUACGGUUGCUAAGAGAAGAGAGUAGAAAUUGGAUACAAGAAUGCAUGGAUGACGAGGAAGAAAAAGCUUUCUUCUCCAACUGGGAUCAAAGCUCAAGCAACAAACCCUUCUCCACCAAAGAGAGAAGGAAGCGGUCUGUGAGGAUUUUCGAACUGAAAAAGCGCACUCAGUGCAAAAAAUGCAACAAAAGUAGGCAUUUGGAGCGAGAAUGCUUUGAAGACAAAAAGCACAGACCUAUUGAGAUAAUGGCAGUCAAAAGUACGGAUGCAAAGGGCUGCAAAGCAAACGCCGUGGUAACCGAGAAUUUUGACGAAGACGACAGUUCUACCUUUAUGGUCCACGAUGCAGAGCACGUCGACGAUGCCGACGCAUGAUACAUGGACGGAGGCGCCAUUGACCAUAUGAUCAACCGUCUAGACUGGUUCGUCUCCUUCAAAACCAUACUCCAAGGACAAUGGCAUGUAAUGACUGCGGAUAAUAGGCGCCUCUAGGUGCGAGGAAUUGGCCACAUAAAUAUAAAAUGCAAAGUUGAUGAUGCCUGGAAGCCCCAAUGCAUACAACGCGUUCUCUAUGUCCCAGAGCUACGCAAAAAAAUUGUUUUCAGUGGGCCAAGU